AGUGAACGCUGGCGGUAGGCCUAACACAUGCAAGUCGAACGGCAGCACAGUAAGAGCUUGCUCUUACGGGUGGCGAGUGGCGGACGGGUGAGGAAUACAUCGGAAUCUACUUUUUCGUGGGGGAUAACGUAGGGAAACUUACGCUAAUACCGCAUACGACCUACGGGUGAAAGCAGGGGAUCUUCGGACCUUGCGCGAUUGAAUGAGCCGAUGUCGGAUUAGCUAGUUGGCGGGGUAAAGGCCCACCAAGGCGACGACCCGUAGCUGGUCUGAGAGGAUGAUCAGCCACACUGGAACUGAGACACGGUCCAGACUCCUACGGAGGCAGCAGUGGGGAAUAUUGGACAAUGGGCGCAAGCCUGAUCCAGCCAUACCGCGUGGGUGAAGAAGGCCUUCGGGUUGUAAAGCCCUUUUGUUGGGAAAGAAAAGCAGCAGGUUAAUACCCCGCUGUUCUGACGGUACCCAAAGAAUAAGCACCGGCUAACUUCGUG
Molecule: ribosomal RNA, 491 nt
Filed under: uncultured bacterium
Lineage: Bacteria
Description: partial 16S ribosomal RNA
Rfam family: Bacterial small subunit ribosomal RNA
Source: RNAcentral